This 492-nucleotide ribosomal RNA is filed under the name uncultured bacterium. Its description in RNAcentral is "partial 16S ribosomal RNA". It matches the Rfam family "Bacterial small subunit ribosomal RNA", at positions 29 to 507 of the family's 1533-position model. The record is from RNAcentral.
AGUGAACGCUGGCGGUAGGCCUAACACAUGCAAGUCGAACGGCAUCACAGUAAUAGCUUUCUCUUACGGGAGGCGAGUGGCGGACGGGUGGGGAAUAACUCGGAAGCUACUUAUUCGUGGGGGAUAACGUAGGUAAACUUACGCUAAUACCGCAUACGAACUACGGGUGAAAGAAGUGGAUCUUCGGACCUUGCGCGAUUGCAUGAGCCGAUGUGGUUUUAGCUAGUUGGCGGGGUAAAGGCCCAUCAAGGCGACGAUCCGUAGCUGGUAUGAGAGGAUGGUCAGGCACAGUGGAAGUGAGACACGGUCCAGAGUCAUACGGGAGGCAGCAGUAGGGAAUCUUGGACAAGGGGCGAAAGCCUGAUCAAGACAUGCCGAGUGGGUGAAGAAGGCCUUCGGGUUGUAGAACCCUUUUGUUGGGAAAGAAAAGCAGCAGGUUAAUACACCGCUGUUCUGACGGUACCCAAAGAAUAAGCACCGGCUAACUUCGUG